UGUCCAAUGCGGGAAUCGAACCCGGGUCCUAGUGGUCGAAAACCAAACGGUUUAACCAGCCUUCCACCGACCGAUAUGGCUACAUCAACCAAUUAUU
This is a non-coding RNA of Cordylochernes scorpioides, 97 nucleotides long. NCBI's taxonomy places the organism in Eukaryota, Metazoa, Arthropoda, Arachnida, Pseudoscorpiones, Chernetidae. The record is from the annotation of a GenBank genome assembly.